Rosa chinensis is the source of this 216-nucleotide long non-coding RNA. RefSeq lists it as uncharacterized. Lineage: Eukaryota; Viridiplantae; Streptophyta; Magnoliopsida; Rosales; Rosaceae. The transcript has 3 exons. The record is from RefSeq and is a predicted model, not a curated record.
GAAAUUGUGCAUUUCAUGGAUCCACUAAAAAGGCGACUUUGUGCUGGUGAAUGGAAAGCUAUUGUCGACAACUCCAUUAAAAUCUUCAAUGCCCAAAAGGGUAGGAAAGGAAGGAAAAUAAUCCAAUGGAAGAAUCUUGCUGGUAUUCCAGAGCAAACUGAUUCUAACACUUGUGGUUAUUUCAUCUUGCGUUAUAUGAAAGAAAUCGUAGAGGAC